RNAcentral lists this ribosomal RNA (526 nucleotides) under uncultured bacterium. RNAcentral's name for it is "partial 16S ribosomal RNA". It matches the Rfam family "Bacterial small subunit ribosomal RNA", at positions 355 to 871 of the family's 1533-position model. The record is from RNAcentral.
UGGGGAAUAUUGCACAAUGGGCGCAAGCCUGAUGCAGCCAUGCCGCGUGUGUGAAGAAGGCCUUCGGGUUGUAAAGCACUUUCAGCGAGGAGGAAGGUGGUGAACUUAAUAUGUUCAUCAAUUGACGUUACUCGCAGAAGAAGCACCGGCUAACUCCGUGCCAGCAGCCGCGGUAAUACGGAGGGUGCAAGCGUUAAUCGGAAUUACUGGGCGUAAAGCGCACGCAGGCGGUUUGUUAAGUCAGAUGUGAAAUCCCCGGGCUCAACCUGGGAACUGCAUUUGAAACUGGCAAGCUAGAGUCUCGUAGAGGGGGGUAGAAUUCCAGGUGUAGCGGUGAAAUGCGUAGAGAUCUGGAGGAAUACCGGUGGCGAAGGCGGCCCCCUGGACGAAGACUGACGCUCAGGUGCGAAAGCGUGGGGCAGCAAACAGGAUUAGAUACCCUGGUAGUCCACGCUGUAAACGAUGUCGAUUUGGAGGUUGUGCCCUUGAGGCGUGGCUUCCGGAGCUAACGCGUUAAAGUCGACCG